AUUCACAGGAUCUUUUUCUCAGUCCUUUGCCCCCUGGUGCAGCGCUGAGGCGCAUUGCUGCUGCAAGCACUCAGCCAGCCCGCAGCCUCUCGACAUUCAGUGCAGCAUCAGGUCUGUUGCUUUCCUCUGGUUUGCGAUGCAUUUGUACAGAAAAUGAGAUGACCGACGGUGGAUGCAGGACUCUGAAGUUCUCGGUACUGAACUAAUUUGGUUUUUGUGCCAAUAGCUUUCACCAAAUCAUGUAAUGUUCUCAGAAUAUGGAAAUCUUGAGGAUAUCAAGGCCUUAGCUUACCAAAAUGCUCUCUGGAUCAAAGUCUACUACAGAUUUACCAGAAAACAGCAAGAUACAUUUUCUCACGUGACUGAAAUUGUGUAGGAAUUAAUCUGUGAAGCACCCAUUACCAAAAGGAGUGAAGGGGAGCGUUCAGAGGCCGGUUGUGUGCGGGGUCCUUCCCCUGAAGCAGGAGGCGUGAGUUGACAGAGCAGUGACUCAGGCCAGAAUGCGGCGCUUCAGACAUAAUACUUGCAGCUGAGAGGGCCAUUCUGUUCCCUGUUUAUUCGCUGAUUUCUCUCAGGAGAGACCUGGCAGAACAGCACAGAGUAAGACCAGCAUUUACCUUGAGCUGGCGGAGGAGCUGGUAGCGCAGCGUCUGCUCUCCUAGUUUCUGAGCUUCAAAGCUGCCACCACAGUGCCCCUGUCUCCUUGUGGGACAUGGGAAUUUCACUAGGACUGAACAAUCGAGCGCUUGUAUUACAGUUAUUCCUGGAAGGAAAAUUUUCUUACUCAGGUAGACAACUUUGAUUGAAGUUUUUGCAUUUAUGUUUAUUGGUUGCAAUAAGGAGAGUUUUUUUCCCUUUUUUUAAAAAAAAAGCAGCUUAGGUUUACACGUUGGCAUAGAACUAACUUGUUUAAAAUCCUUGAAACUGUCCCCUGCCACUAUUCAGCAAUAGCAGGAGACUUUAUUUUCUAUGUGAAUGAAGCCAAGAAUGAAAUAAAACAUGAAUCUUCAUUAGAA
Long non-coding RNA from Oxyura jamaicensis (ruddy duck), 1016 nucleotides. RefSeq lists it as uncharacterized. The record is from RefSeq and is a predicted model, not a curated record. The transcript has 2 exons. Lineage: Eukaryota; Metazoa; Chordata; Aves; Anseriformes; Anatidae.